CACUCUUCUCUGAGCCUGAUGAUUCCCUGGACAACUUUCCUUUGUCAGGGACCGGUCCGGUGUCUGAGGACGUGUCUCGUCUGUUCUCGUCAGGAUGUUCCUCUGAAACCGAGCGCAGUAACCGAACAGCAUGAAUAAUCACUCUUUCUCAUGUGCCUGUGAACUGGUACCGUUGGCUGUUGGACCAGGGGGUUGGUCGCUGGUGCUGACUUCACCUUUCAGGGAAGGUCGAUCUGAAAUACACAAACGGGACCCUGUUUGUCAUGUUGGAACAGAAAGGGGACAUCUGGGACUCGACCAUCGGAUGCUGUCUCCACUGUUCUAGAGUCACGACUGGACUUGUUGCACCUAUCACCUUGUGGCAUCCUAUCACAGUACCACUGUACCUGGAGUUCACUGAGCUCCUGAGAGCGACCCAUUUUUUUCACAAAUAUUUGCAGGAACAGUGGUCAUGCUUAGGUGUUUGUAGGUGUUUUAUACACCUUUUAUUUACCUGUGGCCAUGGAAAUGAUUGGGAAACCUGAUAUCAAUUAUUUGGAUGGGUGAGUGAAUAACUUUGGCAAUAUAGUGUCUUGGAUGAUGGACAUGUUUACAAUUAUUAAAAAAAAAAAAAAAACAAUAUUUAUAUAUAGUAUAGUUCAGAAAAGUCCCAAAGUUAACUAAAAGUGGUGCAAAAUUAUAAAAUAUGAAUAAGAAUAAUAAGAAUAAAAUAAAUGUUUAUUUAACUUUUUUUCAAAAGUCAGUUAAAUGAUGACAUUAAUGUUUGUUAAAAGUAAAUGAAAUGUUGUGUUUAGGGUAAAGAGUUUUCAUUCUUAUCUUCAUCCUUCACAUGAUGACCAUCCUUUAGUUCACACUUUACCUGAAGAGAAGUUAAAGUACUGAUUGUCUCCGCUGCCCUGAUUGUCGUCACUCUCUAGCCAUAAAUCUUCAUCGUCCAAGUCAAUAGGUGUCUUCAACAAGCUAUCAGCGACCCCUAAAGCUUUUUAUAAAAAAGAAUUGGAAACG
Molecule: long non-coding RNA, 1005 nt
Organism: Cynoglossus semilaevis (tongue sole)
Lineage: Eukaryota; Metazoa; Chordata; Actinopteri; Pleuronectiformes; Cynoglossidae
Exons: 3
Source: RefSeq, a predicted model, not a curated record